CCUACGGGUGACAGCAGUGGGGAAUAUUGGGCAAUGGGCGCGAGCCUGAACCAGCAAAGCCGCGUGAGGGAGGACGGCUCUACGGGUUGUAAACCCCUUUUGCCGGGGAGCAACGGGCGUCGCGUGUGGCGCAAUUGAGAGUACCCGGUGAAAAUGCAUCGGCUAACGCCGUGCCAGCGGCGGCGGUAAUACGGGGUAUGCGCGGGUUAUCGGGAUUUAUUGGGUUAAAGGGGUGCGUAGGCGGAUCGUUAAGUAAGUGGGCAAAUCGCGGGGCUCAACCCCUUCCCGCAAUUGAAACUGGCGGUCUUGAGUAGAAGAGAGGGAGGCGGAAUGCGUGGUGUAGCGGUGAAAUGCAUAGAUAUCAGGAAGAACCCCGGUUGCGAAGGCAGCAUGCCGGAUACCGACUGACGCUGAGGCACGAAAGCGUGGGGAGCGAACAGGAUUAGAUACCCCGGUAGUC
This 460-nucleotide ribosomal RNA is filed under the name uncultured bacterium. RNAcentral's name for it is "partial 16S ribosomal RNA". It matches the Rfam family "Bacterial small subunit ribosomal RNA", at positions 338 to 795 of the family's 1533-position model. The record is from RNAcentral.